GGGCAUAGCUCAGUGGUAGAGUGCAUGCCUAGCAUGCACAAGGUCCUGGGUUCAGUUCCCAGUACCUCCA
RNAcentral lists this transfer RNA (70 nucleotides) under Camelus dromedarius (Arabian camel). It matches the Rfam family "tRNA". Rfam says of the family: Transfer RNA (tRNA) molecules are approximately 80 nucleotides in length. Their secondary structure includes four short double-helical elements and three loops (D, anti-codon, and T loops). Lineage: Eukaryota; Metazoa; Chordata; Mammalia; Artiodactyla; Camelidae. The record is from Rfam by way of RNAcentral. RNAcentral also lists the same sequence under 1 other name.